UUGAAUGGGUUGCAUAUGUGAGUCCAUAUUAAAUAUAGUAAUGAAACACAGACUUACUCACAAUCAUUUAAUUAUACUUUGACGACCGGUUUCGAUCUCUACAAUAUACAGAUCAUCUUCAGGUCGGCGUUACAAGUAGUUAAAUGCUACAAUAAGAGAAAACUUGUGUUAGACCAGUGUCUGAUUGAAGAGAUGUUAAUAGAAAGCCAAAUUUAAAAAUUUUUUAUAAAAUUUUUUGAAAUAAAGGUUUGCAACUGUUGACAUUUCAGAAUAUUGGUAUAUACAAAGUCAAACCUAUGAGUAAAAAUGCUCAUAGGCAUGUAUGUGCAAAUGGGUGCAUACAGUUUGAAUUUGUUGAGAUUAAAAUUUUUAACCAUUAAAAAACAAAAUAAACAUAAACUGACUUAAAUAUGCUUCCAAAUUCAAAGUAGUAAUAAUAAAAAAUAAAAGAGAUAGUAAUAUUGUUCUAAUCUACUUACAUGCCGUUACAAGGAUUGCGUUGCAACUUAGUUGUUGUCAUAUUAGUACGUCCAAAUUAUGCUAAUUGGUUUGUUGGGAUAGUGAUAGGGUAAACAGACAUGUUACGUAGGUUAAAACACAGUAAGAUUUCAAAUUUGGAAUUGAUCCUGAAGGAAGAUGCGUAUGUGAAACGGGUGAUGUUUUGUUCGAAUGGAGAAAGACAAUGCUCCAGGAGUUGCGUAUUAAUUGUAGCAAAGUAUGAAAUGUUAUUCUAGGAUCUUGUACAAAUGUGAUGGUCUAAGCUCGUAGAUGUUAUACGAUGCGGGCAGAGGUCAAAGUAUAGGACAUGACAAAUAGGAAAUUGUUGUCAUAAAUUAAUACAAUUUAAGAUAUGUUGUUCUCAGUAAAUUAACUGAGGGAUGUCAUAAGUAUAAUAAUAUCAUAAUAUUAUGAAGUAGUAAGUGCCAUACACUAUGAAACUAUGAAGUGUAUAGAAAUAAAGGGAAACUAGUUAGUUAAAUGAAAAAAUUAUUAUCAAAACAUCGGUUAAGAAACUGUAAAUUGAAAAAUUUUAAAAAGGUAAGAAAUUGAUAAAAUUAAAGAAUAUUUUGUUUGAGCUAUUGUAUAAUGGGAUAUGUACAAAGAAAAAGAAAGAAACGAAAUAUUAAUGGAAGGGUGUAGGCACUUACUUGAGAAUAGUUUUUAACUAAAUAAAUAAAUUAACACAUAACACAUAGGGUUUAAAAGCACAAAGACAUAACAAUUAUUGGUAAAAAGUUUUUUAAGGGAGGUAGCACUACAUUUCCCCAAUUACUAUUUAACUUAGUUUUUACUUCCUAAAUUGAAGUCUAGUUUUUGUGUUUUCAAGAGGGAAUAUUGACAGUGUAGACAGAUGUAGGUUAUCUGAAAUGUCAAAACACUUCUUCUCAAAUGUUGUACAGUAAUUGCCUAUUUUAAUUAAAUCUCUUAGUAACAUAAAGUAUACAGCAUUUUCAAAUUUUACAAAAAAGAUAGUUGUUAAUUUAUAGCAUUAAUAACAAAAUCUAAACUAUAUGUGUAACCACUAUUGUGAAAAAAUGUUGUAACAAUAAUAAAAGUACAUGAUUAAAAGAUAACAGAUGUAUUAUUCUACAUUAGUAUUCAAGUAGAGAAGAAUUAAAGUAGAGAAGAAGUGUUGAGUUUAAGUGUAAGUAGGCAGUGCAUAAUCUAACGUACAAGCAUAUCACCUGUUGCAUAAUUGUAGAUGAGUAAGAUAAAUUGAUUAGCCUAGUCUAUUUAAAUUUAGUAAAUGAAAACAGAUAUAAAACGUGAAAGUUAUAACAAAGAAAAAGAAAAAUAAAAGAAAGUUGGUUGGUAGUAUUGUUAAUAUUGCAGUCGUGGCAAUGCCACGUCAACGAGGUCAGAGGAAACGGAAUGUUUAAUGACAGGUGUGUAGAGGGAGGUAGGGGGGGGGUGUUAAUUUAAAAGAGAACCUAAAGUUUGUUUAAAUCCUAUUUGUAUGUAAGUAUUGGUGCCAACCAACUUCCUCAUGCGCCAUAAAUGUUGUAGGUUACAUUUUUAUAUCACCACGUGGAGAAGUGCAGAUGGUAAUUGAUUGUCCAGUAAUGAAGCUAAGAUGGGAAAAUUGGCUGUGUACUGAGCUACAAAAUCAUCAAAUUCUACAGGAAACGAACAAUGGAGAAUGGAUUUGAAUAAAAUUAAAAUUAGCGGGAUUUUGGAAAUUAAGAGUUAUUCAGGACGUGGCCCUUUUUGCAGAUGUGAAGAAUUUUGAAAUCAAUGUCCGGAUUGAAAUUAUGGUUGGAGUUACGGAUAUGUUGGGAAAAAUGAGAUUGUCCAGAUGUUGGGCGCUGUAUGUAUCUAAGAUGUUCCUUCAAUCUGGUGUCGAACGAUCUAAAGGUUCUUCCGACGUAAUAUGACGAGCAG
Molecule: long non-coding RNA, 2382 nt
Filed under: Diabrotica virgifera virgifera (western corn rootworm)
Lineage: Eukaryota; Metazoa; Arthropoda; Insecta; Coleoptera; Chrysomelidae
Description: uncharacterized LOC126891682
Source: RNAcentral